Molecule: ribosomal RNA, 429 nt
Filed under: uncultured bacterium
Lineage: Bacteria
Description: bacterial SSU rRNA
Rfam family: Bacterial small subunit ribosomal RNA
Source: RNAcentral
UGGGGAAUUGUUCGCAAUGGGCGCAAGCCUGACGACGCAACGCCGCGUGGAGGAUGAAGAAUUUCGGUUCGUAAACUCCUUUCGAUCGGGAAGAACAGCUUUCGGGUUAACAGCCUGGAUGCCUGACGGUACCGAGAGAAGAAGCCCCGGCUAACUCUGUGCCAGCAGCCGCGGUAAUACAGGGGGGGCAAGCGUUGUUCGGAAUUACUGGGCGUAAAGGGGUUGUAGGCGGCCAACUAAGUCCGACGUGAAAUCCCAAGGCUUAACCUUGGAACUGCGUCGGAUACUGGAUGGCUUGAAUUCGGGAGAGGGAUGCAGAAUUCCAGGUGUAGCGGUGAAAUGCGUAGAUAUCUGGAGGAAUACCGGUGGCGAAGGCGGCAUCCUGGACCGACAUUGACGCUGAGAACCGAAAGCUAGGGGAGCAAACGG